CCCAAAACGGGAGCGGGAGGGUGGAAACCGAAACACCGCCGCCGUUUCCCGUUGCCUUGUUUCCCUGCCGGAAAACGCCGCUCCCCGGCCGUAAACUCCACAAAUCUCACAAAACACAUGGGGCGGAAGCGGAAGCGGAAGCGGCGCGCCUCCAAGGACGAGCUGUCGGAGGAGCGAGCCGAUCCAGAAAUGGCAGGAGAGGGAGUCGGGGAGGAGGAGGGCCACGAUGACUCCGCGACGAACCAGCCGCCAUUGAUGCUCGAUGACUGCGAGGAGGGGGAGGAGGAGGAAGCCAUCGAGGGGCUUCUGGAGCCGUUCAGCAGGGGCGAGCUCCUCGACCUCCUGGUCGAGGCCUGUCUCCGGGACUCCGCCCUGCUCUCCCGCCUCGCUGCCUCAGCGGCCUCCGACGCCACACAUCGUCGCCUCUUCGUUCACGGCCUCGGCCCCGGUUCCAAUUCUGCUGCGCUUGCCGCCGCCUUCGCUCCCUUUGGCGUCCUCGAAGAGUCCCACGCCGUCGCCGACCGUGCCACCGGCCGCUGCCGUGGCUAUGGCUUCGUCACCUUCCGCCGCAGCUCAUCCGCCCGCCGCGCGCUCGCCGACGCCUCCAAGCGCGUCGGCGACCGCCCCGUCGCCUGCCAGCUCGCCUCCCUCGGCUCAGCCGGCCCCUGCCCCGAAAUGCGUAAGCUCUUCGUUGACAAGGUGCCCGCGGGCGCCUCGCGCGACGAGCUGAGGAAGUUUUUCUGCCAGUUCGGCGAAAUCGAGGCGGGGCCCCUCGGCGCCGAUCAUGCAACCGGGCGUUUCCAUAGGUACGCGAUCUUCCUCUAUAAGUCCCCAGGGGGGCUCAGGAAGGCGCUUGAGGAGCCCAGGAAGGUGUUCGACGGGUGCGAGCUCCACUGCCGGCCUGCACACAGCAAGAAGCGUGCAACCGCGGAACCUAUAAACGCCGAUGGCCAGAUAAAUGCCACUGGUUCCACGGCCUUGCCAACUUUCCAUCCUAAGGAGGUUGCAUCAACUUCUGGCAUGCAUCCGCUUCUUGGAUCAAAUUCGCCAAUGGCAAAGGGGACUAGCUCAACCGAGGUUCUCUUUUAUCAUAAUGCUGGGGCAGGCGGCGCUGGUAUCUUGGGUGCAUCCCCUCUGGCCAUGGCUGUACCCUCUACGCACAGCCGGAACACGCUUGAUAGCCAUUGAGCCGUACAGAGUCAGAGUGGCCGGUUGUUUUCCAUGGGCGCUUCAACUUCGACAACCGGGAUGGUCAGGGAUCAGCGAGACAAGGCUUAAUACAUUGUUUACCUUGACGAUAGAAAUGAAAGCUUGCAUGUCAAGGGACGUGGUCGCCGUGCAAGCAAUGUUGCAAUGAGGAAGCUGAGAAGUCUUGUGCCCCAAUGUCCAAGACAUGAAGAGCACGCUGCAGGAGGCCUAAGGUAUUUCCUGUGCACCUCAUUUCCCUCAAAGACUGUUAAGCUGUUGUGGUCAUCACAACCACGGGUUGGUGGUCCAACUCCCAGAAGCAGCGCGGCUAUACCUUGGGGAGUUUGAUGCGCCAAUUCUGGUAGGGCAGAGAAGCCACCUUGAUAUGGAUGCACCUUGAAACUUGCCUUCAGCAGUUCAGCUCAUCACAUCAUGGCAAAAGUGGAUGCACUUUUUUCAGUAUUGCUUUCACGCGACGGGCUUUAGAUGUUUAGGUGGUCAUAUUCUCUGUUGUCAUUCAGGCAGGCAUACAAAGUGACCAUGCUAGUUUAGUUUCUGGGGGCAUAAUCUGACCAGGACUGCACUAACAUGUCAUGGGAUUCUAAGCAAAUUAUCUUUGCUGGUGCCGCUAUGGUGGAAUAUGAGAGCAUGACUGGUGGAUGGGAGAGAGGGUUCUGAAUUCUGAUUCUCAGUGAGGUCAUCAGCGCAAAAUCCUGAUUGGUUUAAUCAUUUCAGCUCAUGUGAUGAAAAAGGCUC
Molecule: RNA transcript, 1944 nt
Organism: Brachypodium distachyon (stiff brome)
Lineage: Eukaryota; Viridiplantae; Streptophyta; Magnoliopsida; Poales; Poaceae
Gene name: UBP1-associated protein 2B
Exons: 2
Source: RefSeq, a predicted model, not a curated record